Molecule: ribosomal RNA, 444 nt
Filed under: Triticum aestivum (bread wheat)
Lineage: Eukaryota; Viridiplantae; Streptophyta; Magnoliopsida; Poales; Poaceae
Description: partial small subunit ribosomal RNA
Source: RNAcentral
AUGCCUCAGAUCUGGGACGCGCAGCUCAGCACACCACAACCCAACCUUUCCUUCGCUGCAGCCGGAACAGCGCCACGCGCGGUUGCCCUCGCUCUUGCGCGGAGCCAGGAGACUCGUCACCACGCGUCGGGAACGCGCCCAGCACGCCCUCCGCGCAUCGACAUUGGUCCACAGGCCCAUCCGCCUGCCAGAUCCCGGACAACACCACUUCACGCUCCCGAGCAGCGAACGACGUCGCCUCGCGUCAGUCGGAGAUGCGCCCCGCCGCCGCCGUCCCUGGAUCCUAGCCGAGCUUCGCGGGCGGGCGCCUCUGGCGGCGGCGAGACGGGCAGGAGUACGAGAGUACUAGGUGGCGGCGGUAGGGUUUCACCCCCCGAGUCGCCAGAGGGCGACGCGGUGGGACGGCAGUUGUCUCAGACUGAACAAUACAACCCCUAUGUUUAA